UGUCGGCUCGCGAGAGGGCUCCCGGCGCCGGCGGCCGGCCGCCAAGAGUGGUGUCGGGGCCUCCGGCCCAGCCCGCCGCGAUCGGCUCGAGGCACCGACGCGGCCCCACCCUUGCACUGGCUCCUCAGUAACACCGCAUCCCACCCACCCGUGCACUCUGGACACCCGACAGGGGCUGGAAACCUGGGUCCUGGAACGGGGGUGGGAGGGUCCUCGCCUCCCGGGGCAAGCUCGGAAAAGGAGGCUCAAAGAGCUGACUAGCUACAAAGCUAGUAAGUGAAGUCAUCUGGAUUCCUUCUACAAAGACAAAGCCCAGUUCCCAUUUCUUGGGCUGUUCAUGAGCAG
This is a long non-coding RNA of Neomonachus schauinslandi (Hawaiian monk seal), 345 nucleotides long. RefSeq lists it as uncharacterized. Lineage: Eukaryota; Metazoa; Chordata; Mammalia; Carnivora; Phocidae. The transcript is spliced from 3 exons. The record is from RefSeq and is a predicted model, not a curated record.